CAGUAGCCGCGGUAAGACGAACCGUGCGAACGUUAUUCGGAAUCACUGGGCUUAAAGCGCGUGUAGGCGGAUGGGAACGUCGGUCGCUGAAAUACCCCGGCUCAACCGGGGAACUGGCAUCGAAACGACCCGUCUCGAGGGGCAUAGGGGGAGCUGGAACUUCCGGUGGAGCGGUGAAAUGCGUUGAGAUCGGAAGGAACGCCCGUGGCGAAAGCGAGCUCCUGGAUGUCUUCUGACGCUGAGACGCGAAAGCUAGGGUAGCGAACGGGAUUAGAUACCCCAGUAGUCCCUGUCUCUUAUU
Molecule: ribosomal RNA, 301 nt
Filed under: uncultured bacterium
Lineage: Bacteria
Description: partial 16S ribosomal RNA
Rfam family: Bacterial small subunit ribosomal RNA
Source: RNAcentral